Molecule: non-coding RNA, 1449 nt
Organism: Musa acuminata subsp. malaccensis (wild Malaysian banana)
Lineage: Eukaryota; Viridiplantae; Streptophyta; Magnoliopsida; Zingiberales; Musaceae
Source: RefSeq, a predicted model, not a curated record
AUCCAACGAGGGUGGGAAUGGGGUGGCGGCGGAGGGCUCGGAUUCGUCGUCGAAUGGGGAUCUUGGGAAGGCACGACGAGCAACUUUGCCUUCUUUCACCACUACAGGAAAGUGGACCGACGACGACGUCGAGGAGUUCGACGCCUUCGAUCCGUUCUGAGGCCCCCAGGUUUUACUCGGCUACUGGUUUAGAUCCAUGGACCUGCUCAAAGCUUUGGCAAAUCAUCAAAACCAUGGUGAAAAACUGAGAUUAACCUAAAGUGUUUACUUGGGUCACCCAGAAAUGUUGUACACACUGUCAACAUAUACCGUCUUUGAUGCACGAAUGGAGGAGUACAUGAUGCACAUCUUGGAUGAUGUAGGGAACGACUAUACCUCUCUGCUCACUAUGCAUGUCCAAGACUUUGUGACUAAAGAACCUUGAACUCCAUGAAACUUAAAAUUCAUGGUUUUUCUUUCCUCGCUGUCAAUCUCGAAAUCUGUGAUCCAGUUCUUCAAACACCUGAGACCCGGUUGAUUCUGUUGGAUAAGGUCAGCGGGUGAGAUCACCAUCACCAUUCUUCAGGUCAGUAAUCCAUUAAAUUUUGCAGAUUUAUAUGCGGAGAGCGUAUAACAAUUCUUCUGGUUUUGUCAUGUGUUCUUAGAUCCCUCAUCAAUGCACAGUCAGACUGCACUUGUCAAGCUGCUUGUAUUGGAGGGCAGUACUCUGAAAAUUUUCCUUGGUAACCUCACAUGGAAUCUAACACACUGUCUUCAUUCUCCAGCUUGGGAGGCUCUGUCCAUGUCCCAGUGGCACUACUACCCUUUCAAUUAAUAUCCUUUUUAUGAUCACAACUGCCUUUUUGCCAUUCUUUGGGUUUUGUGGUCUCCAUGGCCCCAUGCCUGAUGCAUUUGCUGCACUGGUAAACCUGGAAACUUGAGGUCGACUUGCAACAACAAGCUUUUCACUGCCUGCAGGUGGUGGAUGGCUUCAGCUGUUACCAAUAUCUAUUCCAUUGAUUGUGCUACACAUGAACCCCUGUUAUGCUGGAUGGAGUUGGGAGUUCUGAGUUGGAUGUUAAACCUGUUGGUGUUGCACUUCUUCUAUCUGAUCUUUCUUUCUCAGAGAUGGCACCAGACCAUAUCUUUUCAGGUGCCGUAGAAACCUAAGCCAGUGUCAUCGCUAGAUGAUUCUAAUUAAAGGUGCGAUAAGAGAGGAUUGUGCCAUUUUGAAGUAGACACAUGAUGGAUACUGAAGCAAUGUACUUGAUCCAUCCAUGUCAUGAUGUAAAUGAGAGGUAGAUGGUAUCACCUAACAUGCUACUAUUGAAGCAUUUCACUUGUACUUAUGUAACCAAAGAUGGUCGGCAAACUAAGAAAACGGAAGAACCGGAAAACCCUGCUAACUUAUUAUUGUAUCAAAUGUUGUAUUGAGAAUUUCUCAUUCACAAGAUCCUUAUUGUUCCUGUA